Molecule: ribosomal RNA, 200 nt
Filed under: uncultured bacterium
Lineage: Bacteria
Description: partial 16S ribosomal RNA
Rfam family: Bacterial small subunit ribosomal RNA
Source: RNAcentral
UACGGAGGGUGCAAGCGUUGUUCGGAAUUACUGGGCGUAAAGCGCGCGCAGGCGGGCCAGUAAGUCGAUUGUGAAAGCCCAGGGCUUAACCUUGGAAUUGCAGUCGAAACUACUAGUCUUGAAUACCUGAGAGGGUGGGAGAAUUCCUGGUGUAGAAGUGAAAUUCGUAGAUAUCAGGAGGAAUACCGGAGGCGAAGGCG